GAAGAGCUGGGCCAGGGCAGCAGGGCCAGAUUUUCUCUCCCAGCACCCAGGCCUGGCUACCAUGCCAUUUUCUGCAGAAAAGAACAGGAAUCUGGUGGGAGGGCGGUGCGCCUGCGCCUCGGAGAGCAAAGCAGAGGGUGAGCGCGGCUGCUGCCAGAAAGCAGGGUUCUCUAGCGGUUGCCAGGGCCGCGUGUUUCCAAAGCGGCCAGCGUGAGGUGCCUUAGUGCCUUCCACCAGCCAAGCUGUGAUCACGGGGACAAAGCAGAGAGGCAGGGGAGGAACCACCUGGCUCAUAAGGAGGAGGCAAGUUCCCGCGAAGCUGUGCCUCCAUGACACUCCCCUGGAAAGUGAACACGGAGCAGACAAAAAGGUGGCUGUAAUUAGAAGCUAUGGAGACGGGACAGGAAAACCACAGGGAACCACGCGCAAGCCACCACGUCAUGGAAAAGAAGCAGACCCAGGGCCGGCACGGGGUCACUUCUGCCGCACACUGCCAGGCACAGCAGUCACAGGCCGGCCCACAGUGCCUCUUGAAUCUGUCUCCAUCCUGCAGCAGCCUCUUCCAGGAGGCUGUGAAGUAGCGACUCGGGACUGCGCGCGCCUUCAUGCACACGACUGCGACUCGACCCGAAUGAUCAGCAACUUGGGUGCUUACGAGGUGCCAAGGUUGUAACCCUGCACACCUGGCACAUCACCCACCGUAAACCACUGUGGUCACGAAAGGCCCAGCUCUAAAGCAGUGUUGCACCAUGGCUGAAAGCAAAGGCUGAGAAAGCAGAUCCCUGCUUCCCCACCGCUAGCUGGGCGAUCCUGGGGAAAGCUCCGUGUGCCCAUGCAAGCUGACCGAGGACGGAGGGGACUCCGUGUGAUAAUGGACAUGGCCCGCUGACCCCAGGCCCAGGGCCAAGGCAAGGCUUCAGAACCAGCAGCAGAAAAAUACAAGGCAGAAAGCACCUCCUCCACUUUCUGGUUUGCACGGCCCGCCCUGGCCCGCCCGGGGCCCCCACCCCAGGCUAUCUGGCCUCCUGUGACUUGUCGGUCACCGGGUUGCCUCUGCAUCCCUGCACUCCUCCCCAGAGCAGUCUGGCAGCUCCGCGUGUGGGACACGGGACAGAGGCUUCUGCGCCCCCUUCCUCGCCACGCGGCACAGGCUUGGACUGGUUGGGGAUCCCGUAGGAGCACAAUAAAGACUGAU
Molecule: long non-coding RNA, 1195 nt
Organism: Oryctolagus cuniculus (rabbit)
Lineage: Eukaryota; Metazoa; Chordata; Mammalia; Lagomorpha; Leporidae
Source: RefSeq, a predicted model, not a curated record